GACGAACGCUGGCGGCGUGCCUAAUACAUGCAAGUCGAGCGAAGUUUUUCUGGUGCUUGCACCGGAAAAACUUAGCGGCGAACGGGUGAGUAACACGUAAAGAACCUGCCUCAUAGACUGGGGCAACUAUUGGAAACGAUAGCUAAUACCGGAUAAUAGCAUUAACUGCAUGGUUGAUGUUUAAAAGUUGGUUUUGCUAACACUAUGAGAUGGCUUUGCGGUGCAUUAGCUAGUUGGUGGGGUAAAGGCCUACCAAGGCGACGAUGCAUAGCCGACCUGAGAGGGUGAUCGGCCACACUGGGACUGAGACACGGCCCAGACUCCUACGGGAGGCAGCAGUAGGGAAUCUUCCGCAAUGGGCGAAAGCCUGACGGAGCAACGCCGCGUGAGUGAAGAAGGAUUUCGGUUCGUAAAGCUCUGUUGUUAGGGAAGAAUGAUUGUGUAGUAACUAUACACAGUAGAGACGGUACCUAACCAGAAAGCCACGGCUAACUACGUG
Molecule: ribosomal RNA, 499 nt
Filed under: uncultured bacterium
Lineage: Bacteria
Description: partial 16S ribosomal RNA
Rfam family: Bacterial small subunit ribosomal RNA
Source: RNAcentral